UACGGAGAGUUUGAUCCUGGCUCAGGACGAACGCUGGCGGCGUGCUUAACACAUGCAAGUCUACGAGAAAGAGGUAGCAAUAUCUUGAUUAAAGUGGCGCACGGGUGAGUAACACGUAAGCAAUCUACCCUUAGAUCUGGAAUAACUUCGAGAAAUCGUGGCUAAUACCAGGUAAUGCAGCGGCACCGCAUGGUGAUGUUGUUAAAGUUUCGAUGUCUAAGGAUGAGCUUGCGUCUGAUUAGCUAGUUGGUGAGGUAACGGCCCACCAAGGCUACGAUCAGUAGCUGGUCUGAGAGGAUGAUCAGCCACACUGGAACUGAGACACGGUCCAGACUCCUACGGGAGGCAGCAGUGAGGAAUAUUGGGCAAUGCCCG
RNAcentral lists this ribosomal RNA (375 nucleotides) under Ignavibacteria bacterium RIFOXYC2_FULL_35_16. Its description in RNAcentral is "bacterial SSU rRNA". It matches the Rfam family "Bacterial small subunit ribosomal RNA", at positions 1 to 377 of the family's 1533-position model. The record is from RNAcentral. Lineage: Bacteria; Pseudomonadati; Ignavibacteriota; Ignavibacteria.